This 272-nucleotide long non-coding RNA is filed under the name Cricetulus griseus (Chinese hamster). RNAcentral's name for it is "lncRNA (ENSCGRG00015034332.1)". The record is from RNAcentral. Lineage: Eukaryota; Metazoa; Chordata; Mammalia; Rodentia; Cricetidae.
CUACUCCCAUAGGCCUGCUUUGAGCAUUUGAGUGAGCACAGCCACAGGCAAGUCUACAGAACAGACCCUUCCUCUCUGACUUUGUGGCAACUUCCUCCCUGCUGGUCAUCCCACUUCCUCUCCUGGACUCCUGCCCUAACAUGAGGACUGUGUGAUCAUUUCUGUAUUAGGACAUGUGAAGCACCCUGUGUUUCACCAUAUGGGCUGAAACUCUCCUGGAAGCUAGGCAGACAACAGCCCAUCUCCACGAGUUUGCUCAGGUGGAGCCUGAG